CAAAAAACACACACAAAAAUUAUUAUUAUUAUUUACAACUUAGAUACUUAACACAUAGAGACUUAAUCGAAAAAAAAAAAGAAGAGAAAUUGAUGGAGAAAUUGGAGAUUAAAUUGAAGGGUUAAGAGAGAGUUUUAGGGUUUUGGGAAUUUUAAUGGACUUGGAAAAAGGACAUUUUUUGGGGAAAUCUUUGUAGUAAGAAUAAAGGAAGAUGACUUUGUAUAAGUACUAAGUACUAUUCUUUAUUUUUUGGUUGCCCCUUUGACAAGUUUUCGAGGAAAAUAUUCUUUUAUUUUUUUUUGUGAUAGUGAUGAGAUAAGAACAAAAAGAAGAGUUUAUUGAUUAUUGGUAAGGGUAAAUGUAAAUUUCAAGUUUAA
RNAcentral lists this long non-coding RNA (377 nucleotides) under Capsicum annuum. Its description in RNAcentral is "long non-coding RNA (CANN_LNC019887)". Lineage: Eukaryota; Viridiplantae; Streptophyta; Magnoliopsida; Solanales; Solanaceae. The record is from RNAcentral.